This is a non-coding RNA of Cricetulus griseus (Chinese hamster), 462 nucleotides long. The record is from RefSeq and is a predicted model, not a curated record. NCBI's taxonomy places the organism in Eukaryota, Metazoa, Chordata, Mammalia, Rodentia, Cricetidae.
GUUCUUAAAGCAGGUUUCUCCUGCCUGACCUACCACCUUCCCUUGCCCAGGCCCAGCCUGCAGGAAGCCCUGCAGUGUAUGUGUGGUAACGCCAUGUCUGUGCCCCUGCUCACUGACGCUGCCACCGUGUCUGGAGCUGAGCGGGAAACGGCCGCGGUUAUUUUUUUACAUGGACUUGGAGACACAGGGCACAGCUGGGCUGACGCCCUCUCCACCAUCCGGCUUCCUCAUGUCAAGUACAUCUGUCCUCAUGCGUGAGUGUCACCCCAGCAAUAGAGGGGCUGGGGGAAGGGUGGCCCUCUAGUCCUAGGCCUGGUUCUUUUCAUCAGCUGCCUCCUGGGGCUUGGGCUUAAAGCAGUCAGGCCUUGUUCAGCCUCACCUCGCUAGAGCUAGGAAUGGGCUCCAGUUCUUGCCUUCGCCCACCCCCAGGGCUUCCUGGACCCAAGACCUCCUAAAAAGAAC